GCAGCUUCAGACGAAUCUUUAAUUGAUAAAUUCUUCGAUGAUUUAAAUAAAGAAUUCAAAAUUACGAGUUUGAAAGAAGUAAAGAGUUUUCUUGGACUUGAAAUCAAUAGAUUAGAAGAUGGUUCAAUAUUCAUUCAUCAGAGUAGGUAUAUCGAAAACAUAUUGGAAAAAUUUAAUAUGAAUGAGGCAAACAGUGUUUCUACACCUAUCGAGACUAAUUGGAACGAAAGUAACAUAGGCGAUAAUGAUUGUAACGCACCAUACAGAGAAGCCGUAGGGAACUUAAUGUUUUUACAAACCGUAAGUAGGCCAGAUAUUAGUUUUGCAAUAAAUAUAGCGGCGAGACACUUAGAGAAUCCAAACCAGUAUCAAUGGAAAUUAGUCAAACGAAUUUUGCGCUACAUAAAAGGGACCGCAGACAUGGGACUCUUAUAUACAAAAGCAGGCAGUCUCGAAACCUUUAGCGACGCUGACUAUGCAGGCGACAAAGAAACAAAAAAGUCGACAUCAGGCGUUGUAUGUAAGUAUGCGAAUGCGGCCAUCACAUGGCAAUGUAAGCGACAACAAUGUAUAGCUUUAUCUACGACCGAAGCUGAAUAUGUCAGUGCAGCCUCAGGAGCAAAAGAAAUUAUGUGGCUAAAGAAAAUAUUUCUUGAAUGUAAAUUAGAGAUCCUUAAGUAUAUGCUAUGUGUAGACAAUACUAGUGCCGUAAAAUUAAUUAAGAAUCCAGAAUUCCAUCAAAGAAGUAAGCAUAUUGACGUAAGAUAUCAUUUCUUGCGAGAUUUAUACAAUAGAGGCGAAAUUGAUAUAACGUAUGUAACAAGCGAAGAGCAAUUGGCGGAUAUAUGUACAAAGGCGUUGCCAAAACCGAGAUUUGAAUAUUUAAGGAAAAAGUUAGGUUUGAAAAGUAAAAAAGAUAUUAAGAUGUAAUUGUUUGUAAACAUGUAGAGUUUUUAGGGAGGGUGUCGAAGUGAUUAUUACUUCUCAAAAAAAAAAAAGAGGAAAAACUCUACAUGAUCUGUUUAGUCUUCUAGUUUUUUUUUUUUUUGUGUAAUAAAUUAAUUUGUAUGGAAAAGAGAAAGGCGGCUGGCAAAUGUACUUGAGAAGGCAUUGACAAAUUAAUUUUCAGAUAUUUACGACAAGAGUUAGAAAAUAUUAAGAGAUAAUUUGUAAAUUUGAGAUAAUUGUUUGUAGGGAUGUAGAGUUUUAGGGGGGGUGUUGAAGUUCACUUCUAAGAAAACUCUACAUCUGGUCUUUUUUAGUUUUCUCAAGCACUGAAGCCAUCGACAGCGUGUAGACAAAAGACUGCGACGAAGUCAGGCCAUAAACAGUAGACAGGCGACGUUGGCUUCGGGGUUUUUCAGUUAUUAGGUAACACAGCUAGCGUGCGGAUCUGGACCAGCUCAAAUUGUAUUUUUACUUAUUACACUUCUAUUUAAAUAUAUUUUCUACCUUACAAUUUAUCCACGUGUUUUCUCUGUUUACACACCGAAUAACCUCAACAGCACGUGUGUUGUAAAAUUUGUAGAAUCAGAAGGUUUGCAAAGUCAAAUAGCACAACAAAA
RNA transcript from Bombus huntii, 1565 nucleotides. It is a transcript of the gene named survival motor neuron protein-like, with no coding region annotated. The record is from RefSeq and is a predicted model, not a curated record. The transcript is spliced from 2 exons. Lineage: Eukaryota; Metazoa; Arthropoda; Insecta; Hymenoptera; Apidae.